Molecule: long non-coding RNA, 1658 nt
Organism: Scleropages formosus (Asian bonytongue)
Lineage: Eukaryota; Metazoa; Chordata; Actinopteri; Osteoglossiformes; Osteoglossidae
Source: Ensembl
ACCCUUCUUCACUCUCUUUACAGAUGCAAUCUGAGACUUAUCACUGAAGGCGGACAGAAUGAUUAAGUACGUUGGCAUUCAGUGUGACCAGGGAAACCGACUUUUCUUCUACUCAUCCCCUGGAACCUCUAAACCUCCUCUCCCGCUGCUCCUCCUCACUGGGAAAGAGCCCAAAAGCGAAAUGACUGGUGGUUAUCCUCCUUGACUCGAUGCCACUGUGCUGCGGCAUAUUACAGCUCCUGCCUCCCAACGGUGGCCUGUCGGUGCCUGCACCGUCUAAACCCUCAGGAUGGAGCUGUUCCAGCUUUGAGAGCUGGACGGAUAACCGGACCUCUUUGACCCAUGACCCCCCCGGAUGGCCCCCAAACAUCCUCUGUUGUUCUUGCGUGUUCUUGUCCAUUCUGUUCAUCCUCCUGGCAUUUGCCCUCAAUCUUUCAUCCCUCCUUCCUUUUGACAGCCUGAUCUCCUUGCACCCCAGGCCGCAUGAGUUUUUUUCAGCUCUGCGGCGCGUCGGGGCUCGCCGGAACACACGUUGACGGCGCUGGCCUUCCCAGCUCCCCCCGGAGUGCGAGUGCUGGAGCGAUCUGCGUCACGAAGCCAGCGAGACCGAGUGGAAUCCAAGUGGACUUCGCUCCUUAGGGAGCUGACUGUGUUCAUGCCCCCAGCAGGUCUCUGCUCCACUGCCUUGUAUUAGAGAAGAGCCAUUCAAGAUGGUCCUGGAACAUCGAAGCUUGGGGUGGUUAACAAGAGGGCUGAAGUUCUCGGACGACGCACGGCAAGCCGAAGGACGCGUUCGCUCCGAGUGACCCGUAACACAGCAGAGGAACAAAUACACUAACACGAUCUGAAGGUUCCAGCUAAGCGAAAGGCAAAUUUGCGGAGGCGGUCCUCCGCGCAGCCCGAGGUCUAAGGGUCUACCCAGUUUUGUCUCACUCGUAUAAAGUUUGAAAUGCAGACGUCAUUAGUCCCAGCCCCCCUGCUGACCUUUGACCCCCCCGAACUGGAAAGCGGGAUCCCCGUGGUCGUUCGCUAUCGGGGUCAUUGCGGGUGCGCCGUGCCCUUGGCCCUGGCGUUAGGAAAACUCCGGACACGUGGCCCAGCAUGGAGCAGGAAGCACCCACUGCCAACCUGGCCAUGCCUUCCUUCGAAACGAUAAGGCCAUUUCCAUUGCUUUCUGGCAGAUUUUAAUAUAAUUAUCUCAGAGGCCAUUGCAAUGCAUUUAAUUCUCACAUGCUUUCCCAGUCCCUUCAGGAUUCAUUUACAUAAUGUUUGCGUUUGAAAAAUGCACACCUAGCUAAGUAUACUUACUCUGGAUUGCGUCCAGCCAGCGAGGCAUGUGAACAAUCUCCUGCGGCUGGUCAAGUUUCGCCCGUUUGCUUACGCUUUUGACAGCUGAAGACGAUGAACUCUACGGGUUUUUAAAAAAAAAAAAAAAAAAAAACUCAUUUGAUAUUUCAAUUUGAAGGUAUCUGCAGGAGCCCCAAGUUAACGCUUAACAGAAUUAUUUAUUUCGGUCGUUGUUUUGUUUAACAUUCAUAGCGCACAACGAGGCUUUCUUUUGAUUGUUUGGACUCUGCUUUCGCCAGGUAUUUAAACAAAAUACGUCGUUUUGCCUGUAACGUUUCACUAAUAAAUCAUAAAUAAAUCCAGACUCCGCA